CGGAGGGAAACCGAGUCUUAACCGGGCGUUAAGUUGCAGGGUAUAGACCCGAAACCCGGUGAUCUAGCCAUGGGCAGGUUGAAGGUUGGGUAACACUAACUGGAGGACCGAACCGACUAAUGUUGAAAAAUUAGCGGAUGACCUGUGGCUGGGGGUGAAAGGCCAAUCAAACCGGGAGAUAGCUGGUUCUCCCCGAAAGCUAUUUAGGUAGCGCCUCGUGAACUCAUCUCCGGGGGUAGAGCACUGUUUCGGCUAGGGGGCCAUCCCGGCUUACCAACCCGAUGCAAACUGCGAAUACCGGAGAAUGUUAUCACGGGAGACACACGGCGGGUGCUAACGUCCGUCGUGAAGAGGGAAACAACCCAGACCGCCAGCUAAGGUCCCAAAGUCAUGGUUAAGUGGGAAACGAUGUGGGAAGGCCCAGACAGCCAGGAUGUUGGCUUAGAAGCAGCCAUCAUUUAAAGAAAGCGUAAUAGCUCACUGGUCGAGUCGGCCUGCGCGGAAGAUGUAACGGGGCUAAACCAUGCACCGAAGCUGCGGCAGCGACACUGUGUGUUGUUGGGUAGGGGAGCGUUCUGUAAGCCUGUGAAGGUGGCCUGUGAGGGUUGCUGGAGGUAUCAGAAGUGCGAAUGCUGACAUAAGUAACGAUAAAGCGGGUGAAAAGCCCGCUCGCCGGAAGACCAAGGGUUCCUGUCCAACGUUAAUCGGGGCAGGGUGAGUCGACCCCUAAGGCGAGGCCGAAAGGCGUAGUCGAUGGGAAACGGGUUAAUAUUCCCGUACUUGGUGUUACUGCGAAGGGGGGACGGAGAAGGCUAUGUUGGCCGGGCGACGGUUGUCCCGGUUUAAGCGUGUAGGUGUGUGUUCCAGGUAAAUCCGGUUCACUUUAACACUGAGGCGUGAUGACGAGGCACUACGGUGCUGAAGCAACAAAUGCCCUGCUUCCAGGAAAAGCCUCUAAGCAUCAGGUAACACGAAAUCGUACCCCAAACCGACACAGGUGGUCAGGUAGAGAAUACCAAGGCGCUUGAGAGAACUCGGGUGAAGGAACUAGGCAAAAUGGUGCCGUAACUUCGGGAGAAGGCACGCUGACACGUAGGUGAAGUGAUUUACUCAUGGAGCUGAAGUCAGUCGAAGAUACCAGCUGGCUGCAACUGUUUAUUAAAAACACAGCACUGUGCAAACACGAAAGUGGACGUAUACGGUGUGACGCCUGCCCGGUGCCGGAAGGUUAAUUGAUGGGGUCAGCGCAAGCGAAGCUCCUGAUCGAAGCCCCGGUAAACGGCGGCCGUAACUAUAACGGUCCUAAGGUAGCGAAAUUCCUUGUCGGGUAAGUUCCGACCUGCACGAAUGGCGUAAUGAUGGCCAGGCUGUCUCCACCCGAGACUCAGUGAAAUUGAACUCGCUGUGAAGAUGCAGUGUACCCGCGGCAAGACGGAAAGACCCCGUGAACCUUUACUAUAGCUUGACACUGAACAUUGAGCCUUGAUGUGUAGGAUAGGUGGGAGGCUUUGAAGUGUGGACGCCAGUCUGCAUGGAGCCGACCUUGAAAUACCACCCUUUAAUGUUUGAUGUUCUAACGUGGACCCGUUACCCGGGUUGCGGACAGUGUCUGGUGGGUAGUUUGACUGGGGCGGUCUCCUCCUAAAGAGUAACGGAGGAGCACGAAGGUUGGCUAAUCCUGGUCGGACAUCAGGAGGUUAGUGCAAUGGCAUAAGCCAGCUUGACUGCGAGCGUGACGGCGCGAGCAGGUGCGAAAGCAGGUCAUAGUGAUCCGGUGGUUCUGAAUGGAAGGGCCAUCGCUCAACGGAUAAAAGGUACUCCGGGGAUAACAGGCUGAUACCGCCCAAGAGUUCAUAUCGACGGCGGUGUUUGGCACCUCGAUGUCGGCUCAUCACAUCCUGGGGCUGAAGUAGGUCCCAAGGGUAUGGCUGUUCGCCAUUUAAAGUGGUACGCGAGCUGGGUUUAGAACGUCGUGAGACAGUUCGGUCCCUAUCUGCCGUGGGCGCUGGAGAACUGAGGGGGGCUGCUCCUAGUACGAGAGGACCGGAGUGGACGCAUCACUGGUGUUCGGGUUGUCAUGCCAAUGGCACUGCCCGGUAGCUAAAUGCGGAAGAGAUAAGUGCUGAAAGCAUCUAAGCACGAAACUUGCCCCGA
This 2154-nucleotide ribosomal RNA is filed under the name Salmonella enterica. RNAcentral's name for it is "partial 23S ribosomal RNA". It matches the Rfam family "Bacterial large subunit ribosomal RNA", at positions 667 to 2802 of the family's 2925-position model. Lineage: Bacteria; Pseudomonadati; Pseudomonadota; Gammaproteobacteria; Enterobacterales; Enterobacteriaceae. The record is from RNAcentral.